AGAACAUCACAACUUUUUUCAAGAUUUCUGGUGCACUGAAUGCAACUAGAAGCAGGAAUCGUCAUUUCAGUAACCGUGGAGUUUAGCAGCAGAUAAAUAUCCAAUUUGGCCAGGGAGGGUAAAACACGUCAGAGGAUACAUAUAAUAACUCAUUUUAAAGACCGUUAAACAUUCACCAGCACGAAGCGAUUUUUAAACCGAAUUCGAUUAGAAAUUUAGCAACAUUUAAGGGAGGAUUCUGGCGAUGGACAAUGUUAAGAACGCUGGAGUCCAGGUGAGCGGUAUUGUGUGAAAAAGAAGGAGAAAGAACCCCCGCCACAGGCCAGAAGUGACAAGAGAACGUAUUAAAUGUGCAGCCACAACGGCAAGUGCAGCCAAAACAAGAGCAAAGAAGUGAGAGAAAUUUAUUAGGUUGAAACACGAACACCUUAGCUACCGGCGGCAACCAGAGUACAACAAUCUCUUUUUGCUCUCUGGAUACUGGCUAUUUACCACCAAUUUGGAAAGAAUCUUUUAUUGUUCCUUUAUUUAAAUCGUAUAGAAGAACUGAAACGUCAAACUAUAGAGGAACUGCUAAAUUGAACACAAUUCCAAAAUUAUUUGAAAAGAUGGUGACUGAGGUAUUACCUCAAGUUUCGUCCAUUUUUUAAAUUUCAACAUGGCUUCCGGAAACAUCGAUUGACUGUUAUAAAUCUUUUGGAAUUAACCCCAAUUGUGAAUGAAGGGUUUAGAAGUCGAUAUCAGACGGAUUGUAUUUAUACAGACUCCAGCAAAGCUUUUGAUAAGGUUAAUCAUAAAUUAUUGUUAUUGAAGUUGUAUCUUAUGGGGAUUUCCAUUCUUGAACUGGAUAAAAUCCUACCUAAUGGGCAGAGCUCAAAUGGUGAAAAUAAGGAAUGCUAUUUCUAAUAAAAUUAAUGUGACGUCUGGUG
Molecule: long non-coding RNA, 929 nt
Organism: Stomoxys calcitrans (stable fly)
Lineage: Eukaryota; Metazoa; Arthropoda; Insecta; Diptera; Muscidae
Exons: 3
Source: RefSeq, a predicted model, not a curated record